GCCCCGGUAGCCCAAUCGGCAGAGGCCGCGGUCUCAAACACCGUCCAGUGUGGGUUCGAGUCCCACCCGGGGCA
RNAcentral lists this transfer RNA (74 nucleotides) under Nocardioides sp. Its description in RNAcentral is "tRNA-Leu". It matches the Rfam family "tRNA". From Rfam's summary of the family: Transfer RNA (tRNA) molecules are approximately 80 nucleotides in length. Their secondary structure includes four short double-helical elements and three loops (D, anti-codon, and T loops). Further hydrogen bonds mediate the characteristic L-shaped molecular structure. tRNAs have two regions of fundamental functional importance: the anti-codon, which is responsible for specific mRNA codon recognition, and the 3' end, to which the tRNAs corresponding amino acid is attached (by aminoacyl-tRNA synthetases). tRNAs cope with the degeneracy of the genetic code in two manners: having more than one tRNA (with a specific anti-codon) for a particular amino acid; and 'wobble' base-pairing, i.e. permitting non-standard base-pairing at the 3rd anti-codon position. RNAcentral also lists the same sequence under 4 other names. Lineage: Bacteria; Bacillati; Actinomycetota; Actinomycetes; Propionibacteriales; Nocardioidaceae. The record is from RNAcentral.